GCAGGAGCAUAAAAUGGCUGCCAUUCCAUUAGCGGUGAUACUAUUGAAUGUAGAAGAGGAAAAGGUCAGACCUAAAUUUCUACAGGGGAAAAAUGAAAUCAAGAACUUUUUUAUUUCCUCUUCUGGUCAAAAGAUCCACAGUGUAUCACAAGAGAUCUCGAGAUUUCAUUGCAAAUUUGGAUUGCAAACAGUGACCAGUCAAAUGGUCA
Long non-coding RNA from Bufo bufo (common toad), 209 nucleotides. RefSeq lists it as uncharacterized. NCBI's taxonomy places the organism in Eukaryota, Metazoa, Chordata, Amphibia, Anura, Bufonidae. The record is from RefSeq and is a predicted model, not a curated record. The transcript is spliced from 3 exons.